UGACGUUAUGGACACACAAGCUGGAU
RNAcentral lists this non-coding RNA (26 nucleotides) under Cricetulus griseus (Chinese hamster). Lineage: Eukaryota; Metazoa; Chordata; Mammalia; Rodentia; Cricetidae. The record is from RNAcentral.